AUUCUUGAUUUAUAGAGAUUAAUAUUGAUUUUGUAUUCAAAAAUUGGCUUUUUUGAUAAUUUUAUAUGUAAGGUUUUUUGCGUAGUAAAGUUAUCUAAAGGAUAAAUUUAUUAUUAUUUGCAGUUUUUAGGAUUAGUUUAUUAUAUAAAUAUAGAACUAGUUAAUUUAAUUAGAUUUGUUAAAAUUUGUGCCAGCAAACGCGGUUAUACAAUUAAUUCAAGUUAAUUUUUUUGGUUAUAUUAAUUUUUAUUUUUGGAAAUUUAAUUUUUAUUUGUUAAGUGAAAUUUUAAUUUUUUAUAUAAUUUCUUGGUUUAAGAUUAUAAGAAAAUUAGGAUUAAAACUAGGAUUAGAUACCCUAUUAUUCUAAUUGUAAAUUUUUGACCAUAAUAUUAAUAGAUAUGAUCUUUAAAUUAAAAAAAUUUGGCGGUAAUUUAGUCCUUUCAGAGGAACCUGUCCUUUAAUCGAUAAUCCACGUUAUAUUUUACUUUAAUUCUUGUUUAUAUACCUCUGUCAUUGAAUGUUUUAUUAGAAUAUUUACUUUUAUUAUUAAUUUAUGUAAUGUCAGGUUAACGGACAU
This 577-nucleotide ribosomal RNA is filed under the name Alydus pilosulus. Its description in RNAcentral is "partial small subunit ribosomal RNA". The record is from RNAcentral. Lineage: Eukaryota; Metazoa; Arthropoda; Insecta; Hemiptera; Alydidae.